AACGAACGCUGGCGGCAUGCCUAACACAUGCAAGUCGAACGAAGGCUUCGGCCUUAGUGGCGCACGGGUGAGUAACGCGUGGGAAACUGCCUAUUGGUGGGGAAUAACGACGGGAACCUGUCGCUAAUACCGCAUAAGCCCUUCGGGGGAAAGAUUUAUCGCCGAUAGAUGUGCCCGCGUCCGAUUAGCUAGUUGGUGAGGUAAUGGCUCACCAAGGCGACGAUCGGUAGCUGGUCUGAGAGGAUGAUCAGCCAAACUGGGACUGAGACACGGCCCAGACUCCUACGGGAGGCAGCAGUGGGGAAUAUUGGACAAUGGGCGAAAGCCUGAUCCAGCAAUGCCGCGUGAGUGAUGAAGGCCUUAGGGUUGUAAGGCUCUUUCGGGUGGGACGAUGAUGACGGUACCACCAGAAGAAGCCCCGGCUAACUUCGUGCCAGCCGCCGCGGUAA
Molecule: ribosomal RNA, 449 nt
Filed under: uncultured bacterium
Lineage: Bacteria
Description: partial 16S ribosomal RNA
Rfam family: Bacterial small subunit ribosomal RNA
Source: RNAcentral